AUAAAACUUCAUGGUCCCCUUCCCCCACACAUUAUAAUUUAGCAGUGCCAUACAAAAACAUUCUGAAACCAACUCGGUCAAGUGUUUUAAAGAACCCAUCAAACGUUCACUGGGGCGUGAUGUCUAAGAAGCGGAAGAGGGGAAGUGCACGGCACAUUCCCGUCAGGAUCGCCCAGUACCUUUGGUAUUCCCACGUGGCACAGCCCGAGCCCCGCCCUUUCCGCAGGGUGGCUCGGAGGGCAACGCUGAGGGAGCUUAAUUUCUGGGUGAGAACUGCAAGUAAUGGUAACUGGUAACUCAACUGAAGAAGAUGACCCUAUCUUCUGCAUCAUAACGUGAAUAUAUACUUGAUAAAAGCCUCAAAUAACUUUUUGGCUGCCAUCUUUAGCUACCUCAAAGGAGAAAACAGAAAAAGGAGUACUGAUGAUGGAAGCAUCUGGUCCCUCUUGCAGAAUGAUGAAUGAUUUUAUUGGCGGCAGCUGGGUGGCAGGGCAAUACAGGCAUCCAGUUGUGCCUGAACCCCAACAAGUGAAAUCUUUGUUCAUUUCCUUUUUAUACACCCAUCUGCCGCCUAAAACCUGACACCAUUUAAUGGUGCCCUUGGUCAAAUCUAAAUGCUUUUACUUUCAUAAUCCUCUGAUUCUAUCUUGAAGAGUCAAGAUGAACUCUAACUCAUGGGAUGGACAAAAUGGAAGAUGUAAAUAAGUAAGCUUUUCAGAGCUAAAAAGCCUCUUUUUAUACAAAAUUAAACUUUAAAAGUACAUUGACCUCGAAACAAUAUAAUUGUCUUGGAUAUGCAAGAAAAAUAGCAGUAUAAAUAUUUAGCAUCAUACCCACAAUGAACAUCUGUGGCUACCCAACCUGUUCAUAUGCCUCAUUAAUUAUAGGCCUUACUCUGAAUGUUUCUUGUUCUAUCUUUGUAUUCCCACCUGCCAAGGAGUUCUUUUAUAAAUUAUAACAUUCCCCAUAUGUGCAAUGCUAAUAUAACUUGUGGAGGGAGAGAGAAAGCCUUUCUCUCCUAUUCCUGAAAAAUCACUGACCUAUUCCUUGAGUCUAUGAGUAAUAACUCCCUACUCAGUCCCUAAAACUAAAAAGUUUGAUCACCUUCAAAGUAGAUUAAAAAAAUGUGUUCAAGUGGUAGCUGACAAGAAUUCACUGUAACCAGAACUGUGUGAUGGAUAAUGCAUAAUAUGAAAUAAACCUUUAUACAAAAAUAGUUCCUUAUAAUGUUACCUAUCAUGAGAGUUUUCAGUAAAAUUGUAAAUUAUGCUGCUGGUAUAUGUUGAUCAAUGAAAGACAGUAACGAAACUACAUUACCAAUUACUAAAAGUUUAUACAUACAUAAAAUAAAAGUUUUUAACAUCUUCA
This is a long non-coding RNA of Lynx canadensis (Canada lynx), 1368 nucleotides long. RefSeq lists it as uncharacterized. The record is from RefSeq and is a predicted model, not a curated record. The transcript is spliced from 2 exons. NCBI's taxonomy places the organism in Eukaryota, Metazoa, Chordata, Mammalia, Carnivora, Felidae.